This 1054-nucleotide long non-coding RNA is filed under the name Mus caroli (Ryukyu mouse). RNAcentral's name for it is "lncRNA (MGP_CAROLIEiJ_G0006487.1)". Lineage: Eukaryota; Metazoa; Chordata; Mammalia; Rodentia; Muridae. The record is from RNAcentral.
ACUGCCCUGAGAGGACCUCCCACCCUCGCGCGCACGGGGACCCGCUAGCACCGCCGAGCGCUGCUCCAUCCAACCCACGCCUGAGGCUUUCCUCCUCAGCCGUGGGGACCGAUCCUCCAGUCUAGUCAUUGCCUCGAGCUGGAAUCUAAGGGACACCGCGCAGAUCCUCGUUCCCUUCCUUCCUGGCCACCUGCGGGGUCUUGACACGCAUGCCCAAGGUGGCAUGUGGCCCUCGACUGCAGCCCCUCCAUGCAGGUUCUGGGAAUUGAACUCUAGUCCUCUGGAAGAGCAACAAGUGUCUUAACCGCUGAGCCAUGGUCAUAGGCACUGAUGUAUUGCUGUGAAGAGACACCAUGACCAAGGCACACUUUAAGUGGAAGUUCACGUGCUAGGCUUGGAACGCUUCGUUUGUCUCAAAUCUUCAUCUUUGCUGUCUCCACUUCAUUGAGAGAGGCACAGCAGAGAACGUCUCCUGCUGUCCCGAAUGGUCCUGGUUGAUGCUGCUGUCUCGUGCUGAUUUGGUGGAGGCCUGGCGGUUUCUUGCUGCAGAUUCCUGUUUGCUAUCCUGACACUGCUCCGCUGGACUGCGGGAAUCCUGACAACAGAGAUUGGAAUCACCUGAAAGAGCUACUUCCAAACAGGUCCACAUCCCCUGUGCUAUUUAACAUCUGUUCUCUCCUACCUUUAUUUGUUUUUCUUUCUUCUUCUUCUUUUUUUUUGUUUUUGUUUUUGUUUGUUUUUUGAAGACAGGGUUUCUCUAUAUAGCUUUGGCUGUCCUGGAGCUCACUCUCUAGACCAGCCUGGCCUCGAACUCAGAAAUCCACCUACCUCUGCCUCCCAAGUGGUGGGAUUAAAGGAGUGGGCCACCAUUUCCGGGCUUAAUUAAUUCAUCAUCAUCACCAUUAUCAUCAUCAUUAUUUUGAAAUGGUCUUACUACUAUACUAUUAUGUAACCUUGGCUGGCCAGAAACUCACUCCAUAGACCAGGCUGGGUUGAGUUUGCAGAGAUUCGCCUGCCUCUCUGAAUGGUGUGAUUAAAGGUAUGGGCUAUUAUU